GUCUAUGGCCAUACCACCCUGAAUGCGCCUGAUCUCGUCUGAUCUCGGAAGCUCAGCAGGGUCGGUCAGGCCUGGUUAGUACUUGGAUGGGAGAAAGUGAAGUUUGCUACGUUGAUC
This 117-nucleotide ribosomal RNA is filed under the name Microcebus murinus (gray mouse lemur). The record is from RNAcentral. Lineage: Eukaryota; Metazoa; Chordata; Mammalia; Primates; Cheirogaleidae.